UUCUUGCUUUCGCUGAAUUUCCCCAUCCGGGGAAGCGGGGGAACCAUCGCAGCAUUGAUCCGGUGUGAGAGCCGGAGCCGUGUCUGCAGGGGUGAAUCCUGAAGCGCCGGAACCCAUGGACCCGGCAAUCAGGUAGGGCGACUCUCACCGCCCGAAUCCGACAGCUAACCUCGUAAGCGCAUGAGUUCGGGAGG
Regulatory RNA element from Paenibacillus sp. HGF7, 194 nucleotides. It matches the Rfam family "c-di-AMP riboswitch aptamer (ydaO/yuaA leader)". From Rfam's summary of the family: This family represents a conserved RNA structure found upstream of the ydaO and yuaA genes in Bacillus subtilis and related genes in other bacteria. The ydaO/yuaA element is thought to act as a genetic "off" switch for the ydaO and yuaA genes in its native state. The record is from Rfam. NCBI's taxonomy places the organism in Bacteria, Bacillati, Bacillota, Bacilli, Caryophanales, Paenibacillaceae.